CAGUGUUAAAAGUUAUUAAUUCCCAAAGAUUUGAAUUAACAAUCCACAGUGUUAAACAGUACUCGUGUUCAGUGUUGUUAUAUGUGCGAAAUAAAAGACCCGCCGAAUUGUCUGGACUCCGCCCUUCAGUGACUGCUGCCUCGCGAAGCGACAACGCCAUCUUUUCUUCGAGCGACCGAGACGUUGGUCGUCCUCUCGCCUCUGUUCCCUCCUCGGCCUGGGGUUACUGCGAAUCUGGCGCUGAAGACUGAAGCUGCUAACGUUAUAUUCGGUAGGUUUUCUACUAAAAUGAGAGAAUUCAUCAAAUGGUAAAUGCAUUUGUUUUUG
Cyprinus carpio carpio is the source of this 327-nucleotide long non-coding RNA. The record is from Ensembl. NCBI's taxonomy places the organism in Eukaryota, Metazoa, Chordata, Actinopteri, Cypriniformes, Cyprinidae.